Ribosomal RNA from Gorilla gorilla gorilla (western lowland gorilla), 121 nucleotides. Lineage: Eukaryota; Metazoa; Chordata; Mammalia; Primates; Hominidae. The record is from Ensembl.
GUCUAUGGCCAUACCACCCUGAACGCAUCCAGUCUCAUCUGAUCUCGGAAGCUAAGCAGGAUCAGGCCUGGUUAGUACUUGGAGGGGACUUUGGGAGGUUAACAGUUUGAUGCUAAAACCU